This 440-nucleotide ribosomal RNA is filed under the name uncultured bacterium. RNAcentral's name for it is "partial 16S ribosomal RNA". It matches the Rfam family "Bacterial small subunit ribosomal RNA", at positions 338 to 795 of the family's 1533-position model. The record is from RNAcentral.
CCUACGUGUGGCAGCAGUGGGGAAUAUUGCACAAUGGGGGAAACCCUGAUGCAGCGACGCCGCGUGAGUGAGGAAGUAUUUCGGUAUUUAAAGCUCUAUCAGCAGGGAAGAAAAUGACGGUACCUGACUAAGAAGCCCCGGCUAACUACGUGCCAGCAGCCGCGGUAAUACGUCGGGGGCAAGCGUUAUCCGGAUUUACUGGGUGGAAAGGGAGCGUAGACGGCUAAUCAAGUCAGAAGUGAAAACCCAGGGCUCAACUUUGGGACUGCUUUUGAAACUGAGUAGCUAGAGUGCAGGAGAGGUAAGCGGAAGUCCGAGUGUAGCGGUGAAAUGCGUAGAUAUCAGGAGGAACACCGGCGGCGAAGGCGGCCUGCUGGACCGCGACUGACGUUGAGGCUCGAAAGCGUGGGGAGCGAACAGGAUUAGAUACCCCUGUAGUC